CAUGCAGUCGAGCGCUACCUUCGGGUGGAGCGGCGGACGGGUUAGUAAGCGUAGGGAGAUACCCAACACUACGGAAUAGCCUCUGGAAAAGGAGAGUAAUACCGUAUACGCCCUUCGGGGGAAAGAUUUAUCGGUGAUGGAUUGGCCCGCGUUAGAUCCCCACAGGAGGGGGGGGUAAUGGCCUACCAAGUCUACGAUCUAUAGCUGGUUUGAGAGGAUGAUCAGCAACACUGGGGACUGGGACACGGCCCAGACUCCUACGGGAGGCAGCAGUGGGGAAUCUUAGACAAUGGGCGCAAGCCUGAUCUAGCGAUGCCGCGUGAGUGACGAAGGCUUAGGGUCGUAAAGCUCUUUCGCCAGGGAUAUAAUGACUGUUCCUUGGUAAAGAAACCCCGGCUAACUCCGUGCGAGGGGGCGGCGUCACCACCCCCGCGGUUUAGCGUUGUUCGGAAUUACGGGGGCGAAAGCGCAGUAGGCGAAUAAGAAAGCUAGAGGUGGAAUCCCAAGGCUCACCCUGAAACUGGCUUUAGAACUACUAGCAAGAUUCGAAAGAGUGAUUGCAUUCCAGUGGUGAGUGAAUUGUUAAAUUUCGAGGACACAGUGAGAAGCCGCUACAUGUGUCAACUGCCCCUGAGGUGC
This 639-nucleotide ribosomal RNA is filed under the name uncultured bacterium. RNAcentral describes it as "bacterial SSU rRNA". It matches the Rfam family "Bacterial small subunit ribosomal RNA", at positions 54 to 754 of the family's 1533-position model. The record is from RNAcentral.